This is a long non-coding RNA of Daphnia carinata, 1480 nucleotides long. RefSeq lists it as uncharacterized. The record is from RefSeq and is a predicted model, not a curated record. The transcript has 5 exons. Lineage: Eukaryota; Metazoa; Arthropoda; Branchiopoda; Diplostraca; Daphniidae.
GAAGUUUUCUAAUUUUUAAGUGAUGGCAUUCGCGUUACAUUUUAGCCAAGGCCUACUCUAUAAUGGGAUAAAUUUUUCGCGGAAUAAGAAUCUCCUAGAGCUAUGUUUUGGAGUAUCAUUCUGAUGGUAAAAUAUCUAUUCAAUUUUAAAUAACUUUUGAAUUUCCUUCUCUGUAUUUGCAGUGACGUAACAUUACUGAUUGGUGGGGUUCUCUAGGGACAAGCCUUUUCCUUUUUCCCAUCCAAUCUGUGAGGCAACCUUGUUUGUGUGUUAUAAUUAGAACAGUAAUGCAUAAAGAAGGAAAUGUUCACAUUUUCCUUAGUGAAGUUUUCUCUCAUUGAAAAAAUCGAAAUAUUUGGUUGAAGCUACUCUGAUGAUAUUCAGUUGCAGUAAUUGGAUCUUGUUUCUCUUUUCAUGAAGGGUGUUUGGUCUUUCCGGCAAUGAAAGAUGCCACCAAAGGUUAUUGAUUUUCCAUCAAUGGCUGCCACUCUGCUGAAGACGUCUCCCUAAACAAUUCAAAAAGAAAAUUCCAAAUGCCAAGCCCAUAGAGAUGGUUUACAUAUUGUCAAUUGAAAACUGUCUGUAUCGUGAAAAGGAUAUGGAUAUUUUGGUCCAGCCUCACUCGUGGUGUGUUCAAAGUGAAUGGCAUAAUUUAAGAUUUUCGAUUUCGAUUUGGCAACGUCGCGGGCAAGAAUUGGUCUGAAGUCCCUCCUUCGCCAUUUUGGAUGUAGCCUUCGUCACGGAUCAUCGUCUGACGUAUUGUCCGGUCUUUUACUACUUAAUACGCCUUCUUUUCUUGUUAUUCUUUGGCCCCUAGAUUCUUCACUGACCAACAAAGAAAAUGCAUUUUCACCUUACUUUUAUUUCUUUGGGACUUGAGUUAUCAGCAGUUGGUUGAAAAGAGCAUCACUGGGAUCACAAUUUUAUUCUCCAUUCAUCUUUGGAAUCCUGGGUUGCUCACUGUUUAUGGAACAUACUCAUCUAAUCAGGCCAAAAGUACGGCAAAUCUAUCCACAUCGAACAUGGAACCGAUUACCGUAUUGUACAUAGAAAUCUUUGAAGAUGGAAUGGGUUUGAUGCAUUUUGGAAUAAUGUUCCAGAAAGCAGCAUUCCAGGGGCAAGAAUCUAAGUUGAAAGGCUGAUCAACACAUUAUGUAUUGUUCAACUUGUUUUCUUUGCUCCUUGGUGAAUUUGAAUUAAAUUGUAAAUUGAAAAGUUAUGGAACUAAAUUUCCAAUUAGUUAGAUGGAAUUUGUGGAAGUUAGCGAAAUGUCAGGACGGAGUAAUACGCAAAAUUUGGAGUCAAAAAGGUGUUUUCAUGUGGUGAAUGCUUAGAACGUCUGUUUGCACUUCCAGAAGUUUUAAGCUUGGGACUUGGCAAAGGCAGUAGAUGGUGGAAUUUGCAUUACAAGUCAGAAUCGUGUGUUGUUGCCUGUCGACCAUUAAGUAACAGUUCGAGCUAGUAUGUCUUAAUGAUUGCU